This 73-nucleotide ribosomal RNA is filed under the name Thermotogota bacterium. RNAcentral describes it as "Thermotogae bacterium (hydrothermal vent metagenome) partial 23S ribosomal RNA". Lineage: Bacteria; Thermotogati; Thermotogota. The record is from RNAcentral.
CUACCCGGUAGAUGGGCCGCAGGUGUAAGCCCCGCAAGGGGUUGAGCCGAGCGGUUCCAAUAGCCCGAGGAUU